RNAcentral lists this ribosomal RNA (253 nucleotides) under uncultured bacterium. RNAcentral's name for it is "partial 16S ribosomal RNA". It matches the Rfam family "Bacterial small subunit ribosomal RNA", at positions 524 to 776 of the family's 1533-position model. The record is from RNAcentral.
UACGGAGGGUGCGAGCGUUAUUCGGAAUCACUGGGCGUAAAGCGCAUGUAGGCGGUUUGGUUAGUCUGAUGUGAAAGCCCACGACUCAAUCGUGGAAGUGCAUUGGAUACUGCCAAGCUGGAGUGCAGGAGGGGAGAGCGGAAUCCCUGGUGUAGAGGUGAAAUUCGUAGAUAUCAGGAGGAACAACGGUGGCGAAGGCGGCUCUCUGGACUGUAACUGACGCUGAGGUGCGAAAGCGUGGGGAGCAAACAGG